This 1037-nucleotide ribosomal RNA is filed under the name Staphylococcus pseudintermedius. RNAcentral's name for it is "partial 23S ribosomal RNA". It matches the Rfam family "Bacterial large subunit ribosomal RNA", at positions 380 to 1424 of the family's 2925-position model. The record is from RNAcentral. Lineage: Bacteria; Bacillati; Bacillota; Bacilli; Caryophanales; Staphylococcaceae.
CGAAAACGAAUUCUCUCUUGAGUGGAUCCUGAGUACGACGGAGCACGUGAAAUUCCGUCGGAAUCUGGGAGGACCAUCUCCUAAGGCUAAAUACUCUCUAGUGACCGAUAGUGAACCAGUACCGUGAGGGAAAGGUGAAAAGUACCCCGGAAGGGGAGUGAAAGAGAACUUGAAACCGUGUGCUUACAAGUAGUCAGAGCCCGUUAAUGGGUGAUGGCGUGCCUUUUGUAGAAUGAACCGGCGAGUUACGAUCUGAUGCAAGGUUAAGCAGAAAAUGUGGAGCCGUAGCGAAAGCGAGUCUGAAUAGGGCGAAUGAGUAUUUGGUCGUAGACCCGAAACCAGGUGAUCUACCCUUGGUCAGGUUGAAGUUCAGGUAACACUGAAUGGAGGACCGAACCGACUUACGUUGAAAAGUGAGCGGAUGAACUGAGGGUAGCGGAGAAAUUCCAAUCGAACUUGGAGAUAGCUGGUUCUCUCCGAAAUAGCUUUAGGGCUAGCCUCAAGUGAUGAUUAUUGGAGGUAGAGCACUGUUUGGACGAGGGGCCCCUCUCGGGUUACCGAAUUCAGACAAACUCCGAAUGCCAAAUAAUUUAACUUGGGAGUCAGAAUGUGGGUGAUAAGGUCCAUAUUCGAAAGGGAAACAGCCCAGACCACCAGCUAAGGUCCCAAAAUAUAUGUUAAGUGGAAAAGGAUGUGGCGUUGCCCAGACAACUAGGAUGUUGGCUUAGAAGCAGCCAUCAUUUAAAGAGUGCGUAAUAGCUCACUAGUCGAGUGACACUGCGCCGAAAAUGUACCGGGGCUAAACAUAUUACCGAAGCUGUGGAUUGUCCUUUGGACAAUGGUAGGAGAGCGUUCUAAGGGCGUUGAAGCAUGAUCGCAAGGACAUGUGGAGCGCUUAGAAGUGAGAAUGCCGGUGUGAGUAGCGAAAGACGGGUGAGAAUCCCGUCCACCGAUUGACUAAGGUUUCCAGAGGAAGGCUCGUCCGCUCUGGGUUAGUCGGGUCCUAAGCUGAGGCCGACAGGCGUAGGCGAUGGAUA